Molecule: non-coding RNA, 21 nt
Filed under: Caenorhabditis elegans
Lineage: Eukaryota; Metazoa; Nematoda; Chromadorea; Rhabditida; Rhabditidae
Source: RNAcentral
UCUUGACAUUCCAUAAUCCUU